AUUGAACGCUGGCGGCAGGCCUAACACAUGCAAGUCGAGCGGAUGAAGGGAGCUUGCUCCUGGAUUCAGCGGCGGACGGGUGAGUAAUGCCUAGGAAUCUGCCUGGUAGUGGGGGAUAACGUCCGGAAACGGGCGCUAAUACCGCAUACGUCCUGAGGGAGAAAGUGGGGGAUCUUCGGACCUCACGCUAUCAGAUGAGCCUAGGUCGGAUUAGCUAGUUGGUGGGGUAAAGGCCUACCAAGGCGACGAUCCGUAACUGGUCUGAGAGGAUGAUCAGUCACACUGGAACUGAGACACGGUCCAGACUCCUACGGGAGGCAGCAGUGGGGAAUAUUGGACAAUGGGCGAAAGCCUGAUCCAGCCAUGCCGCGUGUGUGAAGAAGGUCUUCGGAUUGUAAAGCACUUUAAGUUGGGAGGAAGGGCAGUAAGUUAAUACCUUGCUGUUUUGACGUUACCAGCAGAAGAAGCACCGGCUAACUUCGUG
Molecule: ribosomal RNA, 484 nt
Filed under: uncultured bacterium
Lineage: Bacteria
Description: partial 16S ribosomal RNA
Rfam family: Bacterial small subunit ribosomal RNA
Source: RNAcentral